This 778-nucleotide long non-coding RNA is filed under the name Homo sapiens (human). RNAcentral describes it as "non-protein coding lnc-TUBB2A-9:2". The record is from RNAcentral. Lineage: Eukaryota; Metazoa; Chordata; Mammalia; Primates; Hominidae.
AGGCGGGACUCCGGAGUGGGCGGGGCUCCGGCUCUAGGCAGGCUGCUAUGUUGGAUCAAGUAAAGUUCUAAACGCUGUGCACCUAUUUAGUACUGACUAGUACUAGGAAGUGUAUUUGCUUUUCGGAGAUGAUGGGAUCUAAAUUUUGUUUAUACCACUUCACGCCCAUUAGGAUGGCUACUAGCAAAACCCCCAGAAAUUAGUGUUGGUGAAGAUGUAGAGAAAUUGAAGCCCUUGUAUAUUGCUGUUGGGAAUGUAAAAUGGUGCAGCCAUGUGAUGAACAAUACUGCGGUUCCUCAACAAAUCAGUUAUAUGAUCCAGCAUUUUCUUUUCUGGGUAUAUAACCCAAAAGAAUUUAAAACAGGGUGUACAAGAAGAAAUGUUUUUACACUCACGUUGACAGCGGCACUAUUCACAAUAGCCAAAAGGGUGGAGGCAAUUUAAGUGUCCAAAAACAGAUACAUGGAUAAGCAAAAUGUUGUCUGUGCAUGCAAGGGAACAUUUUUUAGCCUGAACAAAGAACGAAAUUCUGACACUUGCUACUACAUGGAUGAACCUGGAGGACACUAUGCUGAGGGAGACAUUCUCCGCUUACAUCUGGCCAGAGUUAAAGCCGCUCAACUCCUGACCACCACCCCGGCCCAACAGUUCACUUUCCUCUUACUUAAUCAAGGAAUUGUCCAGCAGGCGUGAACCCAUUCAGUUACAAAGCCUUCCUUGUCUUUCAAGCGACGAGGUAACUAUACUCUUCAAGGUCUGUUUUUGGACCCUAACCCCU